RNAcentral lists this ribosomal RNA (497 nucleotides) under uncultured bacterium. RNAcentral's name for it is "partial 16S ribosomal RNA". It matches the Rfam family "Bacterial small subunit ribosomal RNA", at positions 28 to 507 of the family's 1533-position model. The record is from RNAcentral.
GAUGAACGCUGGCGGCGUGCCUAAUACAUGCAAGUCGAGCGAACAGACGAGGAGCUUGCUCCUCUGACGUUAGCGGCGGACGGGUGAGUAACACGUGGAUAACCUACCUAUAAGACUGGGAUAACUUCGGGAAACCGGAGCUAAUACCGGAUAAUAUAUUGAACCGCAUGGUUCAAUAGUGAAAGACGGUUUUGCUGUCACUUAUAGAUGGAUCCGCGCCGCAUUAGCUAGUUGGUAAGGUAACGGCUUACCAAGGCAACGAUGCGUAGCCGACCUGAGAGGGUGGUCGGCCACACUGGAACUGAGACACGGACCAGACUCCUACGGGAGGCAGCAGUAGGGAAUCUUCCGCAAUGGGCGAAAGCUUGACGGAGCAACGCCGCGUGAGUGAUGAAGGUCUUCGGAUCGUAAAACUCUGUUAUUAGGGAAGAACAAAUGUGUAAGUAACUAUGCACGUCUUGACGGUACCUAAUCAGAAAGCCACGGCUAACUACGUG